CGCGUAGGCGGACGACCAAGUCGGGGGUGAAAUCUUUCAGCUCAACUGGAAAACAGCUUCCGAUACUGGUCGCCUGGAGGGAGGUAGGGGUGCGUGGAACUCAGGGUGGAGCGGUGAAAUGCGUAGAUAUCCCGAGGAACGCCGGUGGCGAAAGCGACGCACUGGACCUUUCCUGACGCUGAGGCGCGAAAGCCAGGGGAGCAAACGGGAUUAGAUACCCCGGUAGUCCUGGCCCUAAACGAUGGGUACUAGGUAGUGGACUUGACAUGGGUUCACUGCCGAAGCAAAAGUGAUAAGUACCCCGCCUGGGGAGUAUGGUCGCAAGGCUGAA
This 331-nucleotide ribosomal RNA is filed under the name uncultured bacterium. Its description in RNAcentral is "bacterial SSU rRNA". It matches the Rfam family "Bacterial small subunit ribosomal RNA", at positions 568 to 898 of the family's 1533-position model. The record is from RNAcentral.